This 955-nucleotide long non-coding RNA is filed under the name Felis catus (domestic cat). Its description in RNAcentral is "lncRNA (ENSFCAG00000048399.1)". The record is from RNAcentral. Lineage: Eukaryota; Metazoa; Chordata; Mammalia; Carnivora; Felidae.
AUGUAUGUCUUGGUUCUUAUUUCUCUGUGGGAAAAGUGGAUGAAAACAAUUCCGUCUCCUCCUCGUGUCCCCAAUCUUGUUGCCCGCCGGCACUACUCAAAAACUACAACACUUUCGGAUACUACCUGCUUGGCUUUGCUGUUCUCCAGAUUUUCCACCCUGUGCCUAAGGUAUGAAUAUGUGUUUAUUUUGUGUUUAUAUAUCUGUUUAUUUUCUCCAGACUCUUGGGUGGUUUUCAAUCUGAAGAUUGAGAUUUUUCUUCAAUUUUGAUCAAUUUCUAGCCAUUUCCUCCAUUCUUCUGGCUAUGUUCACUAAGGUAUGCUAGAUCUUGUCAUUUCUUUCUCUGUAUCUCUUAGCCACGGUUGCUCCCAUAUUUUUCUUCUCUUCAUUUUCUCGCUGUGUACCAGCAGAGUGAUUUGUUUUCUAGAGGGACUUACUAACUUGCUAAAUGUCCUAUUCUGUUGUUCAAACUAUCAGUUUUAAAUCAAUAAUUUAUUAAAACUAUUUUUUCAUUUCUACAACUUCGAUUUGGCUUGUUUCCCAUCAAGUUUUUCAUAUUAUUCUAUUCUUUAUUACUGUGUCUUAUCUUUCUUUCUUUUUUAAGAUUUUAUUUUUAAGCAAUCUCUAUACCCAACGUGGGGCUUGAACCCACAGCCCCAAGAUCAAGAGUUGCACACUCCACCAACUGAACUAGCCAGGCAUCCUUUCUUUUAAAAUGGCUAAUGCCUGAGUGGCUCAUUCAGUUAAGCAUCCAACUUUGGCUCAGGUCAUGAUCUCCCAGUUCCUGAGUUUGAGCCCUGUGUUGGGCUCUGUGCUGACAGUUUGGAGCCUGGAGCCUGCUUCAAAUUCUGUGUCUCCCUCUCUCUCUGCCCCUCCCCCACUCGUGCUCUGUCUCUGUCUCUCUGUCUCUCAAAAAAUGAAUAAACAUUAAAAAUUUUUUUAAUUCUUUAUAAUG